GGUGAACGCUGGCGGCGUGCCUAAUACAUGCAAGUCGAGCGAACAGAUAAGGAGCUUGCUCCUUUGACGUUAGCGGCGGACGGGUGAGUAACACGUGGAUAACCUACCUAUAAGACUGGGAUAACUUCGGGAAACCGGAGCUAAUACCGGAUAACAUAUUGAACCGCAUGGUUCAAUAGUGAAAGGCGGCUUUGCUGUCACUUAUAGAUGGAUCCGCGCCGUAUUAGCUAGUUGGUAAGGUAACGGCUUACCAAGGCAACGAUACGUAGCCGACCUGAGAGGGUGAUCGGCCACACUGGAACUGAGACACGGUCCAGACUCCUACGGGAGGCAGCAGUAGGGAAUCUUCCGCAAUGGGCGAAAGCCUGACGGAGCAACGCCGCGUGAGUGAUGAAGGUCUUCGGAUCGUAAAACUCUGUUAUCAGGGAAGAACAAAUGUGUAAGUAACUGUGCACAUCUUGACGGUACCUGAUCAGAAAGCCACGGCUAACUACGUGCCAGCAGCCGCGGUAAUACGUAGGUGGCAAGCGUUAUCCGGAAUUAUUGGGCGUAAAGCGCGCGUAGGCGGUUUUUUAGUCUGAUGUGAAAGCCCACGGCUCAACCGUGGAGGGUCAUUGGAAACUGGAAAACUUGAGUGCAGAAGAGGAAAGUGGAAUUCCAUGUGUAGCGGUGAAAUGCGCAGAGAUAUGGAGGAACACCAGUGGCGAAGGCGACUUUCUGGUCUGUAACUGACGCUGAUGUGCGAAAGCGUGGGGAUCAAACAGGAUUAGAUACCCUGGUAGUCCACGCCGUAAACGAUGAGUGCUAAGUGUUAGGGGGUUUCCGCCCCUUAGUGCUGCAGCUAACGCAUUAAGCACUCCGCCUGGGGAGUACGACCGCAAGGUUGAAACUCAAAGGAAUUGACGGGGACCCGCACAAGCGGUGGAGCAUGUGGUUUAAUUCGAAGCAACGCGAAGAACCUUACCAAAUCUUGACAUCCUUCGACUGCUCUAGAGAUAGAGUCUUCCCCUUCGGGGGACAAAGUGACAGGUGGUGCAUGGUUGUCGUCAGCUCGUGUCGUGAGAUGUUGGGUUAAGUCCCGCAACGAGCGCAACCCUUAAGCUUAGUUGCCAUCAUUAAGUUGGGCACUCUAAGUUGACUGCCGGUGACAAACCGGAGGAAGGUGGGGAUGACGUCAAAUCAUCAUGCCCCUUAUGAUUUGGGCUACACACGUGCUACAAUGGACAAUACAAAGGGCAGCUAAACCGCGAGGUCAAGCAAAUCCCAUAAAGUUGUUCUCAGUUCGGAUUGUAGUCUGCAACUCGACUACAUGAAGCUGGAAUCGCUAGUAAUCGUAGAUCAGCAUGCUACGGUGAAUACGUUCCCGGGUCU
RNAcentral lists this ribosomal RNA (1371 nucleotides) under uncultured bacterium. Its description in RNAcentral is "bacterial SSU rRNA". It matches the Rfam family "Bacterial small subunit ribosomal RNA", at positions 28 to 1381 of the family's 1533-position model. The record is from RNAcentral.